GACGAACGCUGGCGGCGUGCUUAACACAUGCAAGUCGAACGGAAAGGCCCUGCUUUUGUGGGGUGCUCGAGUGGCGAACGGGUGGGUAACACGUGAGUAACCUGCCCUUGACUUUGGGAUAACUUCAGGAAACUGGGGCUAAUACCGGAUAGGAGCUCCUGCUGCAUGGUGGGGGUUGGAAAGUUUCGGCGGUUGGGGAUGGACUCGCGGCUUAUCAGCUUGUUGGUGGGGUAGUGGCUUACCAAGGCUUUGACGGGUAGCCGGCCUGAGAGGGUGACCGGCCACAUUGGGACUGAGAUACGGCCCAGACUCCUACGGGAGGCAGCAGUGGGGAAUAUUGCACAAUGGGCGGAAGCCUGAUGCAGCAACGCCGCGUGCGGGAUGACGGCCUUCGGGUUGUAAACCGCUUUCGCCUGUGACGAAGCGUGGGUGACGGUAAUGGGUAAAGAAGCACCGGCUAACUACGU
RNAcentral lists this ribosomal RNA (467 nucleotides) under uncultured bacterium. RNAcentral describes it as "partial 16S ribosomal RNA". It matches the Rfam family "Bacterial small subunit ribosomal RNA", at positions 28 to 506 of the family's 1533-position model. The record is from RNAcentral.